AAAUGUACCACCUGGGAAUUUUGUUAAAAUUUAGAUUCUGUUUCAACUGGUCUGAACCAGGUUGGGUGGGUCAAGGUUCUGCAUUUCCAGCAAGCUCCAAGGUGGUGUCAAC
Molecule: microRNA precursor, 112 nt
Filed under: Marmota monax (woodchuck)
Lineage: Eukaryota; Metazoa; Chordata; Mammalia; Rodentia; Sciuridae
Source: RNAcentral